GACGUAGGGCGCGAGCGUUGUCCGGAUUUAUUGGGCGUAAAGAGCUCGUAGGCGGCUUGUCGCGUCGAAUGUGAAAUCUCAGGGCUCAACUCUGACAUUGCAUUCGAUACGGGCAGGCUAGAGUUCGGUAGGGGAGACUGGAAUUCCUGGCGUAGCGGUGAAAUGCGCAGAUAUCAGGAGGAACACCGGUGGCGAAGGCGGGUCUCUGGGCCGAUACUGACGCUGAGGAGCGAAAGCGUGGGGAGCGAACAGG
This 253-nucleotide ribosomal RNA is filed under the name uncultured bacterium. RNAcentral describes it as "partial 16S ribosomal RNA". It matches the Rfam family "Bacterial small subunit ribosomal RNA", at positions 524 to 776 of the family's 1533-position model. The record is from RNAcentral.